Molecule: ribosomal RNA, 578 nt
Filed under: uncultured bacterium
Lineage: Bacteria
Description: bacterial SSU rRNA
Rfam family: Bacterial small subunit ribosomal RNA
Source: RNAcentral
CGACAGGAACAAUCCCUUCGGGGUGCGUACCUGGGCGUCGAGUGGCGGACGGGUGAGUAAUGCAUAGGAAUCUACCCAGUAGCGGGGGACAACUUGGGGAAACUCAAGCUAAUACCGCAUACGCCCUACGGGGGAAAGCAGGGGAUCUUCGGACCUUGCACUAUUGGAUGAGCCUAUGUCUGAUUAGCUUGUUGGUGGGGUAAUGGCCUACCAAGGCGACGAUCAGUAGCUGGUUUGAGAGGACGAUCAGCCACACUGGGACUGAGACACGGCCCAGACUCCUACGGGAGGCAGCAGUGGGGAAUCUUGGACAAUGGGGGCAACCCUGAUCCAGCAAUGCCGCGUGUGUGAAGAAGGCCUGCGGGUUGUAAAGCACUUUCAGUAGGGAGGAAAAGCUACGGGUUAAUAACCCGGAGUCUUGACGUAACCUACAGAAGAAGCACCGGCUAACUCUGUGCCAGCAGCCGCGGUAAUACAGAGGGUGCGAGCGUUAAUCGGAAUUACUGGGCGUAAAGCGCGCGUAGGUGGUUAUGUAAGUUGGAUGUGAAAGCCCCGGGCUUAACCUGGGAAUUGCAUUC